CGUCAGCAGUCCGGUACGGAU
This 21-nucleotide small nuclear RNA is filed under the name Arabidopsis thaliana (thale cress). Its description in RNAcentral is "snRNA_02848". Lineage: Eukaryota; Viridiplantae; Streptophyta; Magnoliopsida; Brassicales; Brassicaceae. The record is from RNAcentral.